This 301-nucleotide ribosomal RNA is filed under the name uncultured bacterium. RNAcentral's name for it is "partial 16S ribosomal RNA". It matches the Rfam family "Bacterial small subunit ribosomal RNA", at positions 509 to 807 of the family's 1533-position model. The record is from RNAcentral.
CAGCCGCCACGGUAAUACGAAGGGUGCAAGCGUUAAUCGGAAUUACUGGGCGUAAAGCGUGCGUAGGCGGUUUGUUAAGACAGAUGUGAAAUCCCCGGGCUCAACCUGGGAACUGCAUUUGUGACUGGCAAGCUAGAGUGUGGCAGAGGGGGGUGGAAUUCCGCGUGUAGCAGUGAAAUGCGUAGAUAUGCGGAGGAACACCGAUGGCGAAGGCAGCCCCCUGGGCCAACACUGACGCUCAUGCACGAAAGCGUGGGGAGCAAACAGGAUUAGAUACCCGUGUAGUCCCUGUCUCUUAUAC